AACGAACGCUGGCGGCAUGCCUAACACAUGCAAGUCGAACGAGACCUUCGGGUCUAGUGGCGCACGGGUGCGUAACGCGUGGGAACCUGCCCUUAGGUUCGGAAUAACUCCCCGAAAGGGGUGCUAAUACCGGAUAAUGUCUUCGGACCAAAGAUUUAUCGCCUUUGGAUGGGCCCGCGUUGGAUUAGCUAGUUGGUAGGGUAAAAGCCUACCAAGGCGACGAUCCAUAGCUGGUCUGAGAGGAUGGUCAGCCACACUGGGACUGAGACCCGGCCCAGACUCCUACGGGAGGGAGGAGAGGGGGAUAUAGGAAAAUGGGGCGAAGCCUGAACCAGCAAGGCCGGGUGAGUGAUGAAGGGCCUAGGGAUGUAAAGCGCCUUUACCCGGGAUGAUAAUGACAGUACCGGGAGAAUAAGCACCGGCUAACUCCGUG
Molecule: ribosomal RNA, 433 nt
Filed under: uncultured bacterium
Lineage: Bacteria
Description: partial 16S ribosomal RNA
Rfam family: Bacterial small subunit ribosomal RNA
Source: RNAcentral